This 348-nucleotide unclassified non-coding RNA is filed under the name soil metagenome. Its description in RNAcentral is "partial contains 5.8S ribosomal RNA, internal transcribed spacer 2, and large subunit ribosomal RNA". The stretch from base 1 to 120 matches the Rfam family "5.8S ribosomal RNA", at positions 35 to 154 of the family's 154-position model. The record is from RNAcentral.
GAUGAAGAACGCAGUGAAAUGCGAUAAGUAAUGUGAAUUGCAGAAUUCAGUGAAUCAUCGAAUCUUUGAACGCACAUUGCGCCCGCCAGUAUUCUGGCGGGCAUGCCUGUCUGAGCGUCAUUUCAACCCUCAUGCCCCUAGGGCGUGGUGUUGGGGAUCGGCCAAAGCCCGCGAGGGACGGCCGGCCCCUAAAUCUAGUGGCGGACCCGUCGUGGCCUCCUCUGCGAAGUAGUGAUAUUCCGCGUCGGAGAGCGAUGAGCCCCUGCCGUUAAACCCCCAACUUUCCAAGGUUGACCUCAGAUCAGGUAGGAAUACCCGCUGAACUUAAGCAUAUCAAUAAGCGGAGGA